AGCCUUUGUGUUGCCCAUUCACUUUGGAAACUAGUGAAUGUGGUGUCAAAAAAGGCGUAAACGAAACACUUUGCAGCCUUUUCCUGCCCUAGAAUUUGGUAUCCUUGGUGUAGGAGCUGCAUAAGUAACAGUU
This 133-nucleotide small nucleolar RNA is filed under the name Suricata suricatta (meerkat). Its description in RNAcentral is "Small nucleolar RNA SNORA13 (ENSSSUG00005005344.1)". It matches the Rfam family "Small nucleolar RNA SNORA13". From Rfam's summary of the family: ACA13 is a member of the H/ACA class of snoRNA that guide the sites of modification of uridines to pseudouridines. Lineage: Eukaryota; Metazoa; Chordata; Mammalia; Carnivora; Herpestidae. The record is from Rfam by way of RNAcentral.